This 4541-nucleotide long non-coding RNA is filed under the name Triticum aestivum (bread wheat). RNAcentral's name for it is "long non-coding RNA (TAES_LNC022341)". Lineage: Eukaryota; Viridiplantae; Streptophyta; Magnoliopsida; Poales; Poaceae. The record is from RNAcentral.
CCCGUUGUAUUUAUAAGUGACAUGUGUGUGGUUUUUUGCAGUACAUAGUAUAUGUAUGCAUUUCUUCAGUGGGGAGAUUAGUGCAUGAUGUCAUAUACACAAUUCAGAAAAUUUGUUUGAUAAUACUUAAGUGUAGGUUAGUCUAUUCUUUCAAGGAGAAAAGAGUAGGUCAAAUUAAUGAAAGACUGAGGUUGUUUGACGGCCGGACCAAGAAGAGCAAGGAGCCAACAAUGGUCAAUUUCUUGCAUCCCAUCCUGGACUCUAAAAGAUUUCAGUUUGCUAUAGGCUAUAGUUUGACUUUUUGCUUCUUGAAGUGAAUGGUAAAGCACCAUGUUGGUUACAUUAGAUUUGUUUGUCAGGCUUGUCUAAAGUCAAUAAUUUCUUGAUCCAUUUUCAAUUUAAGUAAACCAUCCAUAUAAUCAUGAUUUGUUUACCCUAUUCGGUGUUUCUGUUGUGCUUUGUUUUUGUUUGAAGGUUUGGGCUGGAUUGGAUAUCCAAAUGUUUGUGAAUUAUACUUGAUUAAUUGCUUGCUAAAACAAAGAAAGCAUCCAGCAGCACCUCAACCAGGUGUCACAAGAGAACUGAACUAAAUUUCUCAGCUACACAUGUAGUCUUAACAUUGCUAGCUGUUGUCCCUAGAAAUCAUUUAUAGCUGUUGUAUAAGGAUAUUGUAGUUUAUCUUAGUAGGGAAUAGUGUGAUGUUUUCUCUAUUUAAAUUCUAACAUUUUAAACCUCAAACAGAUGGGUUCGUUUGGGAAGGAUCUUGAGCUGUUAGACUCAGCUAGAAUUUUGCCAAUGAGAAUUAGAGACCAGACAACUGCACUUAAGCUUGCUAAGCUACCCAUUUAUUCCUUCUAUUCGUUGAUUAUAGGAACAACACAUGCAUUCAUCAUACAAACCUGCAGCUUAUGUGCGAUAAGAUGGACUCGACAUAAAGAAGUUUCUCUUCGUCUGCUCUGAUUUUUGAGCCAAGACCCUUGGGAGUUUGUCUAGCCUCAUUAUCAAAAGUGUGCAUCAGUUAGUUAUGACCUCAUCUCUUCAGUGAGAUGUUUUCCUCCAUGAAGGUUCCUCCUUACAUUGGGUCUAUUAUCCUAUUACGCGUGCUUGAUUUCUACUGGAUAUUUUUGCCGAUGAUGGAUUUCCGUAUUGUUCUGCAGGAUAUCCCUGACGAUCACAGGGAAUGCUCCAAACAAAAGAAAAUAAUUGUAUCAGGUAAGUGCAAUAAUUUGUUGAUCUCUACAAGUAAAGAGGAAGGAAUCUGUUUCUUACUUUGGUGUGUGUGACAUGAAACAUCAUUUCCUAAGUAAACAAAUUAUUUGCUUGCCAUUGAAAACAAAAAUUUGAGCAAAUAUAUAUAUUAUUGUUCAUGAUCUUUCUUUUUUGUCUGUAUCGAAGUUCAUGGUCGCUCAAUAUAUAUGAUGUUGUGAUCGUGUCUGAUUUGUGCAUACUUAAUUUUUUUCUUCAGUUCUGCCUUAUUGAUAAAGAAUGCAUCAUCAUAGUAGUUGUUAUUUAAAAUCUGUAUGGAUUGGUGCAUCUGCAUUCAUAGAAUGAUCUUUUCUUUAGAUUGUGUGUGAAGUUUUUAGAUAAUGCACCAUGUCUGACUUCAUAAAAAAGCCAUCAAUGGCAAGAUCAAGUCACACUGAAGUUAAGUUAAAAGGUUACAGAACAAAGCGGUUUGAUAUGGAAUACACACUAUUUUCAUUUUCAUUAACAUGAAGUCUGCCAUUAACGUACUUUGUUCUUAACAUUUUUUUACCAAAUGCAGGGGAAUGUCACCAAUAUUUUUUCUGAUGUGCUAUCACCACUGAUAAUUAUCUUUACCGUUUGUCCUUUGAAUUGCAGCCUGCGAAGCGUAAAUGCUGGACUAUUGUUUCUCCCCUGAUGCACAUGUUUCGCCACAGACAAUAUAGUGUGUGUGUGUGUGUGUGUGUGUGAUCUCUGAAAUUAGUUUUUAGGUUAUUCUAUGUGUUGAGUACUUCUGUAAUUUCCACGGGCGUGUUUCAUAUUUUCUGUGUAUUGUCUAUCAUUCUUUUAAUCGUUAAUAUUUCUUGUAGUUUUUCAUAUUUAGUUUCAGCCGCGUUUCAUUUCUCGCAGACCUACACCUAUUAGGAAAAGCAUAGUUUCAUUUUGAUCAUGUUUCUUUUAGUUAUUCAGUGUUUGUUCAUUAAUGUAGCAGAGUAAGCAGUACAUUUUGUCCAUUAGUUAAAUCACUCAUGUCACAUUCAGUUGAUUAGGUUCAGUUUUUGUUCCUUUCUUCUUCGUUCCUUCAGUUUUUUGUUCCUUUAUUUAGUCAUUGUGCUUGCACCAUUUGCCGGUAUUUGAUUCAAUAUAACCAUUUAGUCCAUCUCAAUAGACCCUUAUGGUUCUUGAUAGUUUCUCUCUUUCAUAGAUCAGACUUUUCCGCUUUUUCAGUUAGGCUAAUUUAUGCUUUCAAUUUCAGUUUUUAGUCUUCGCUUGAUUUAGUUGGACAGUGUGUUCAGUAUUUCAAUAGUUCAGUUGUUUCAUUGAUUGAUAUGUGCAUUUUCGUACUUAGUGAAGCAUCUUAAUGCAUUUUCAUACUUUGUGAAGCAUCUUAAUUUGAUUGAUAUGUGCAUUCAGUUGAGAACUCACAAGUAGAACAACUGUGCUUCACUUCAUCAGAUGGUAAUUUUUAUCGGUUAUAGACUUAUAGUUACAAUUACUAGAAGUAGCAAAGGUCUGCGUUUGUUUAGACCUUGAGUUGGUAGCUAUGCCUUUUUUGUUUCAGAUCAUAUGUUGGUACUUCAUUUUACUCAGAUCAUAUGAAGGUGAGUGUAAUUGUGUAAUCUGGAUUAGACGCAAUGAAAUUCAGAAGUAGUAGAAGUAUACUAUUUUUUACUUUCUGAUUACUAUAGAAGUACACCGCUGCAUGGUACUCCCUCUGUUCCUAAAUAUAAGUCUUUGUAGAGAUUUCACUAUAGACUACAUACGGAGCAAAAUGAGUGAAUCUACACUCUAAAAUGCAUCUAUAUACAUCCGUAUGUGGUUCAUAGUGAAAUGUCUACAAAGACUUAUAUUUAGGAAUGGAGGGAGUAAAUUAUUGCCAUGGCCUCAAUGGCAGGUUGUACCUGAUAGUGAUAUAUCCUACGAGUACCGGAUGGUCAACAUCCUUACCUGACAGGUAUGGAUUCCACAUAGUAGCCUAGCAGUGCAUGGAAAACUAGGUUCGGUCUGAAGUCUGAACCCCUGAAGAAGCAAAAGCCAAAAACAGAGAUCAGACGACCAAAUACGAGAGUGCAUCUUCUCCUUUUUUGUCUUUUUGUUGAGUGUGCAUCUUCCAACCUGGCUGUAGGCUAUAAUCAACUCAAUUUUGUUUUCUCCAUGUGAUAGCCAGGUAGGUGGCUACGUGGUAAAAUAAGCUCAACUUUCUUUUAAUACAUCUGGAUCAUGUCUUUAGAGUGUAGAGAUGCAACAUCAUAUACAUACAAGGAAUGGUCGACGACCACUUUUACAUUCAUCUUUUUUGUUUGUGAGUUCAGAGCUUCUAUUAUUACAACUGCACGCUCCAGUCAUGCUGAAUACAUGGGAGCAGUACAUUCAGUAGAAGGAGAUACAGAUUUAAGCUAUGCUCGCCAUUCAACUUUUGCCACACUCGUUCAGUAAUCAGUACAACUCAUUCUGCUUCAGGAUGGAAGCUUCGAAUGGCUAGCAGAACCAAGGCUGCCGGGACACCAUCACCUUGAGGUAGUGCCAUGGCCGUAGGUGCUGAUGUCGCAUGGGCAGCACCGCGGCCGCGGGAUCACUGUUGUGUAGUGCCACAGCCUCCGACUCGGUGUUGCGUGGUGGAAGUGCAGUGGUCAAGUUCGACGGCAUUGAAGCGAGGUGUGAGAUCCCAGCGCUCCAAAUGACGGGUCGUGGCCGUCGGAGGGCCAACAGAGGACAAGGGUUAACAACCGGUGGUGGAGGGCGAGUCUGAGAAAUCAUGAGCUUUUUCCUUCUAUGAAAACUGAUAAAGUUGCAACAUAGUUUGCUCAAAGGUGUGCAUCGGUGCAGAUUGAGCAAGGCACAAUCUGAGAAGAAAAACACAAAAUUAGAAACAGUGUGCAUCAUGUGUAUGUUGGCUGAGCGAUGCUGUUGGGGGCCCGGUUGUGGCGCAGCCCUUUGGCGUGGUGCCCUCUUGCGUUGCCGCUAUGGUUGCCUCGCAUUGGACGGGAGGAGAUAAGUAAAUCCCCAAUUAAGAUGCACAAUUAAGAUCCCCAAUUAAACUAGCAACAUCAUUAUGGAAGGGAAAUGAUUGGAUAACAAACUUUAUAGAUUUAGUAUCAUAUCAUUCAUUUGUGACAACAUCAUCAUAAUUGCGCAUCUCUGAAUAUUUUAGGCCCUUGCUCUUGGAAGAUUAGACUGAUCUGGUGUUGCUUUAUAAAUAAAUGACAUGCUAACUUACGGGUUUGAUUUAGGUGUGUAGGCAGAGGCAAAAAAAAAGAAUCACAAUCUCAGGUUUAGGCAUGCACAUGGCCAUGCUCACAAAAUAAGUAGGCACGGAUGCAAUAUUGUGAUUUUCAGCAAGAGAAAGAGAAGUAAAG